Molecule: ribosomal RNA, 685 nt
Filed under: Halarchaeum sp.
Lineage: Archaea; Methanobacteriati; Methanobacteriota; Halobacteria; Halobacteriales; Halobacteriaceae
Description: bacterial SSU rRNA
Rfam family: Archaeal small subunit ribosomal RNA
Source: RNAcentral
UGCUAGUUGUACGAGUUGAGGCUCGUAGCGGAAAGCUCAGUAACACGUGGUCAAGCUACCCUGUAGCGACGGAUAACCUCGGGAAACUGAGGCUAAUACGUCAUAACGCUCGAGAUCUGGAGUGAUUCGAGCCGGAAACGCCUUUGGGGCUACGGGAGGCAACGGCGGUCAAUUAGGUAAACGGGGGGGUAACGGCCCACCGGGCCCUUAAUCGGUACGGUUUGUGAAAGCAAAAGCCCGGAAACGGAUUCGGAGACAAAAUACGGGGCCCUACGGGGCGCACCAGGCGCAAAACCUUUACACUGUACGGAAUUGCAAUAGGGGAACUCCAAUGGUGUGGCAUUAGAGCUCACACUUUUGUAAACGGUAAGGGGUCCUACAAAUAAAAGCUGGGCAAAACCGGUGCCAGCCGCCGCGGUAUUACCGGCGGCUCAAUUGAUGACCGAUUUUAUUGGGCCUAAGGCGUCCGUAGCUGGCCAGGCAAGUCGGUGGGAAAUCCACUUGUUCACCAGGUGGCCGUCCAGGGAACUGGCUUGCCUGGGACCGAAGAUCCAAGGGGUACGUCCGGGUAGGAUGAAUCCUGUAUCCUGGACGGACGCCAUGGCGAAGCACUUGAGACGAUCCGACGUGAGGACGAGCUAGGUCUCGAACCGAUAAUACCGGUAGUCUAGCUGUAACGAUUCGC